UUUAUUAGUCUCCUCAUAACAGAAAAUAGGUUCACAACAAAACAAAAACAUUGAUCGCUAUACGUAACAUUUCUCUUGCUGGUUUGGCCAGUGUCUGUAAGCAUUUUCGAGUGAUGUGCAUUACCUGCACCUGUAUCCCCCUAUUCUGACACUCUUGCCAAAUCUGAAGCACCACUUUGUUGAUGUUGUGUUAAUACCACACUGAAAACUGCUUGUUAGAGAUACAAAUGCCCUGUAGACGGUGGUGAUAUUACAAUCUUGUGUUUUCAGCAAUUUCAGCUUUUGUAAUGAAGGACAGCUGACACUCCACAGACCUAAAGGAAGGAUUUAGCCAGCCAAUUAAGGAAGCCUGCUUUAUAGCGUUUCUAAACAUAUAUACACAUACUUGCUGUAUCUCAUACACCACAAUGUAACAACGUGCAUCUCAUACACCACAAUGUAACAACGUGCAUCUCAUACACCACAAUGUAACAACGUGCAUCUCAUACACCACAAUGUAACAACGUGCAUCUCAUACACCACAAUGUAACAAUGCUGCUUCUCCUGAUAACCUAGUCACACAAGUUAUUUAUGUUAUUUUUGUUUGUCUCCCUCUGAAAUUUUUUUUUAAACUAAAAAACAAUUUUGUUGAACCUGUCAAUGGAAAAUGUGUCUCUUCUUAUGUUCCUGUAAACCCACCUUUUCUAGGCACUGCCUGGAUUACUGGGGCUUCAGGAGAAGCAGCCCGUGAAGGAAAAGGGCUGCCUGGUUCCAAGGGAGACCAAGGCUUACAGGACUUCUCAGGACCAGCUGGCCUCCUUGGAAUUGGAGUCGUCGGACCUAAGUUUUGAAACAAUUAAGAUGAUCACAGUUACUUCUUGCUGUUAAUAAUGGGGGAUUAUAUGUUUUCUAGUGAUGUGUGUUGUAGAGUUAUUGUGCUUUCUGCAUGCAUUAUGCAUACAAAGAUUAAUGCUUUGAGCACAUUAUGCUACAGUCAGUCCUCGUAUUGCUCACAGAAAAGACCAUUUGCAUGAAGCACUGAGGGUCAAGGACUAGUUCCUGUUAAAAUGUUGGUAUGCUAAUUAUUUUUUUUCUUUUCUUAUUCAGGGAUCUGUUGGUGAAGCUGGUUCACCAGGUCCUCCAGGUUUACCUGGAGAGGGUAUACAAGGACCCAAGGGAGAGCCAGGAUUUCAGGGAGUGCCUGGGCCAAGGGGCCCACCAGGUGAAGGCUUCCCAGGAGAGAAGAUUUACUUGCUUAGAAUGGCAGGGGGACUGUGGAUUUUCAGGAGAUCGAGGGAGGCAGGUGAACAAAGGAGAAUUUGGAGAACCAGGGAAUCCUGGACAGAAAGGAGAACUUGGCCUUACUGACUUGAGAGCAAACUACUCAGCAGAAUCUGUGAAAGUGAAGAUGGCGUCCUGUUUAGUCCAAUCCUUAACUCUGUAUUGCCACCUGGUAUUGCCACCACUUCAGACCUUGUCAAAGAGAAACUGAAAAGAUCAGACAAAUUACAGUAUGCUGUCUAGAGAGCCAGGCCCACCAGGUGAAUCAGGCACUCCACCAGGACCCCAGUGGACCAAGAUUGUGGACCGAUUUCAGACCUAAGAUGUGAAGAGAUUUUGGAUCCAGAAACAUGCAGGAGUAUGCUGUUAAAUGGUACUAUGACUCCAUAGCAAAAGCAUAUGCCCAAUUCUGGUAUGGAGGGUGUAAUGGUAAUGGUUACCAGUUUGAAACAGAGUAUAAUUGUAAAGACUACUGUGUUAGAGAAAAAAAAGGUAGAUAUUUUGUGAUAGAAACUCUUGAGGCAUUUUAUGCCAUGUGACUGCCAUGAUAUUUUAAAGCUAGUAAUCCCAGAUUUAGCAGGGUGUGUAAUUGUCAUGUUGAUAGGCCUGUAAUUUAAAAAGGUUGUUAUAAUUGUGUGUUUUUUUAAGUAGAAGUUAUUUUGGUGACAUCAUGUGAAGAAAGAACUGGCUUGCAAGAAAAUUUUUUAACUCCAAAAUGUAAGAUAAUAAUGCUGAUAAGAUCUCCCAGAACAUGCUUCUCUGUCAAGUUUCACAAAUAUGAAUGAAUUAAAGACAUUCUCCUGAACAAAGGUGUAUGUAGCACAGCACAUUCUAUUAUAGGAUGCCAUCAUAAACGUUCAUCUUUUCGAUUACAAAGUUAAAAUCCUUACGUUUUAAAAAAUAAAUCAUACUUACUAAACUAUACACUUCAGUUAACUGUAGAAACUUACACUAUUGUCAAUGUCUAAAUUUUUUCACCCUCAAUUUGAGGGAAAAACAAAACAUCAAAUAAGGAUGCAUUGACAAAGAUACAUGAUGCAUGGAGGCAGUUUGAGGUUGUCUGCUGUCACACCUGUUUUUCUCCCUUUUGUGAACUAUGGUAUUACUAUUACAAAAAAUAUGUUCUAAUAUGAUCAAGCUGGUAUUGUUUGUUAGAACAAAAUCUAAUGACGAAACGUUGAAAUUGUUAAGGCUUAUCUUCAAUAAUUUGAGAUUGUUGCUGUUUGUGUACUUGGGCAGUCACGUCUUUUGUUUUUUGAAAGUGUCCCUCUAGUUUUCAGUGGCAAAUUUAAUUUCUGUGUGUGUUCUUUUUCUUUUUUUUUUCAAUUAUUUUGUAUUCAUUUUCCAAUUUUCUCCCAAUUUUUGGAAUGUCCAAUUAUUAUUCAACCUGGCUCAACACUGCAACCCCUGAACUAACUUGGGAGAGAUUGCACUCCCACUCACUUCCUCCAAAACAAGUGCCAUUGGCUGACUGCUUUUUUUCAUUCUGCAAGCCUGCCGUGCAGCCACAACCAGAACUUACAGCAUUGGAGAACCAUGCGGUUCUGAAUUGUGUACAGGCCAGCCUGCAGGUGCCUGGCCAGCCACAGGGGUUGCUGGUGCAUGGUAAGCCAAGGACUGCCCAGCCAACCUAACGCCUACAACCUAACUCCUAUCCACAGUCAGCAGUGGCACAGCUUGGAUUUGAACUAGCAAUCUCCAAGCUAUGUGAUGUAUCCUGCACUCCAGUGGAAUGCCUUUACCGGAUGCGCCACAAGGGAGUCCCCAUGUUUUUUCUUUUGAAGUGGACGAUUAAAAUAAUGUGAAAUUCUGAAAAUAGAUAUUUCCUGUUAUUCACAAAACGUUAAGUCUCCAAAAUUGAUUAAUCUGACUAAAUCCAAUAUACUAAGGUAAAUAGAACAACUAUAAUAUAGCUAUAAGUCGUCAACUAUGGGGCAGUUGGGUUUUCACAAAUAUUUUUCUGAACAGGAUAUAAGUAUUUGUUUCUGU
Molecule: long non-coding RNA, 3249 nt
Organism: Polyodon spathula (Mississippi paddlefish)
Lineage: Eukaryota; Metazoa; Chordata; Actinopteri; Acipenseriformes; Polyodontidae
Exons: 8
Source: RefSeq, a predicted model, not a curated record